AUUGAACGCUGGCGGCAUGCCUUACACAUGCAAGUCGAACGGCAGCAGGGACUUCGGUCCGCCGGCGAGUGGCGAACGGGUGAGUAAUGUAUCGGAACGUACCAUUCAGUGGGGGAUAACUAUCCGAAAGGAUAGCUAAUACCGCAUAUUCUGUGAGCAGGAAAGCAGGGGAUCGCAAGACCUUGCGCUGAUUGAGCGGCCGAUAUCAGAUUAGCUAGUUGGUGAGGUAGCGGCUCACCAAGGCUACGAUCUGUAGCGGGUCUGAGAGGAUGAGCCGCCACACUGGGACUGAGACACGGCCCAGACUCCUACGGGAGGCAGCAGUGGGGAAUUUUGGACAAUGGGCGCAAGCCUGAUCCAGCCAUGCCGCGUGAGUGAAGAAGGCCUUCGGGUUGUAAAGCUCUUUCGGCCGGGAAGAAAUCGCAUCAGCUAAUACCUGGUGUGGAUGACGGUACCGGAAUAAGAAGCACCGGCUAACUACGUGCCAGCAGUCGCAGUAA
Molecule: ribosomal RNA, 500 nt
Filed under: uncultured bacterium
Lineage: Bacteria
Description: partial 16S ribosomal RNA
Rfam family: Bacterial small subunit ribosomal RNA
Source: RNAcentral